This 1331-nucleotide ribosomal RNA is filed under the name uncultured bacterium. Its description in RNAcentral is "bacterial SSU rRNA". It matches the Rfam family "Bacterial small subunit ribosomal RNA", at positions 184 to 1531 of the family's 1533-position model. The record is from RNAcentral.
UAUCGCAUGAUGAGUAAGUCAAAUCGAUUUAGAGGUAUGGGAUGAGUUCGCGUCUGAUUAGCUAGUUGGUGAGGUAAUGGCUCACCAAGGCGACGAUCAGUAGCCGGCCUGAGAGGGUGAACGGCCACACUGGAACUGAGACACGGUCCAGACUCCUACGGGAGGCAGCAGUGGGGAAUAUUGCACAAUGGGCGAAAGCCUGAUGCAGCGACGCCGCGUGAGUGAAGAAGGUCUUCGGAUCGUAAAACUCUGUCCUUGGUGAAGAAAAAAAUGACGGUAGCCAAGGAGGAAGCCCCGGCUAACUACGUGCCAGCAGCCGCGGUAAUACGUAGGGGGCGAGCGUUGUCCGGAUUUACUGGGCGUAAAGGGUGAGUAGGCGGUUAUAUAUGUCAGAUGUAAAAGGCACAGGCUUAACUUGUGUAAGCAUUUGAAACUGUAUGACUUGAGUGCAGGAGAGGUAAGUGGAAUUCCUAGUGUAGCGGUGAAAUGCGUAGAUAUUAGGAGGAACACCAGUGGCGAAGGCGACUUACUGGACUGUAACUGACGCUGAGUCACGAAAGCGUGGGUAGCAAACAGGAUUAGAUACCCUGGUAGUCCACGCUGUAAACGAUGAGUGCUAGGUGUUGGCCAGCGAUGGUCAGUGCCGAAGUUAACACAAUAAGCACUCCGCCUGGGGAGUACGGUCGCAAGACUGAAACUCAAAGGAAUUGACGGGGACCCGCACAAGCAGCGGAGCAUGUGGUUUAAUUCGAAGCAACGCGAAGAACCUUACCAAGGUUUGACAUCCCCUUGACAGAUGCAGAGAUGUGUCCUCCCCUUCGGGGGCAAGGGAGACAGGUGGUGCAUGGUUGUCGUCAGCUCGUGUCGUGAGAUGUUGGGUUAAGUCCCGCAACGAGCGCAACCCUUAUCCUUAGUUGCCAGCAAGUUAAGUUGGGCACUCUAGGGAGACUGCCGGUGAUAAACCGGAGGAAGGUGGGGAUGACGUCAAAUCAUCAUGCCCCUUAUAUCUUGGGCUACACACGUGCUACAAUGGUCGGUACAAAGGGAAGCGAAAGAGUGAUCUGGAGCAAAUCCUUAUAAACCGACCCCAGUUCGGAUUGUAGGCUGCAACUCGCCUACAUGAAGUCGGAGUUGCUAGUAAUCGCGAAUCAGAACGUCGCGGUGAAUGCGUUCCCGGGUCUUGUACACACCGCCCGUCACACCAUGGAAGUUGGUAAUACCCGAAGUCGCUGAGCUAACCGUAAGGGGGCAGGCGCCGAAGGUAGGAUCAAUGACUGGGGUGAAGUCGUAACAAGGUAGCCGUAUCGGAAGGUGCGGCUGGAUCACCUCCU